UGGGGAAUAUUGCACAAUGGGCGCAAGCCUGAUGCAGCCAUGCCGCGUGUGUGAAGAAGGCCUUCGGGUUGUAAAGCACUUUCAGCGAGGAGGAAGGUGGUGAACUUAAUACGUUCAUCAAUUGACGUUACUCGCAGAAGAAGCACCGGCUAACUCCGUGCCAGCAGCCGCGGUAAUACGGAGGGUGCAAGCGUUAAUCGGAAUUACUGGGCGUAAAGCGCACGCAGGCGGUUUGUUAAGUCAGAUGUGAAAAUCCCCGGGCUCAACCUGGGAACUGCAUUUGAAACUGGCAAGCUAGAGUCUCGUAGAGGGGGGUAGAAUUCCAGGUGUAGCGGUGAAAUGCGUAGAGAUCUGGAGGAAUACCGGUGGCGAAGGCGGCCCCCCUGGACGAAGACUUGACGCUCAGGUGCGAAAAGCGUGGGGAGCAAACAGGAUUAGAUA
This 441-nucleotide ribosomal RNA is filed under the name uncultured bacterium. RNAcentral's name for it is "partial 16S ribosomal RNA". It matches the Rfam family "Bacterial small subunit ribosomal RNA", at positions 355 to 784 of the family's 1533-position model. The record is from RNAcentral.